GGGGUUGUGUCUCAGGGGUAGAGCACUCGCCUCACAUGUGCGAGACCCUGGGUUUGAUCCUCAGCACCACA
This 71-nucleotide transfer RNA is filed under the name Marmota monax (woodchuck). Its description in RNAcentral is "tRNA.Val". The record is from RNAcentral. Lineage: Eukaryota; Metazoa; Chordata; Mammalia; Rodentia; Sciuridae.